RNAcentral lists this ribosomal RNA (572 nucleotides) under uncultured bacterium. RNAcentral's name for it is "bacterial SSU rRNA". It matches the Rfam family "Bacterial small subunit ribosomal RNA", at positions 102 to 694 of the family's 1533-position model. The record is from RNAcentral.
ACGGGUGCGUAACACGUGACUUACCUGCCCAGAAGUGGGGGAUAGCUCGCCGAAAGGCGAAUUAAUACCGCAUGUGAUCGCAAGAUCAAAGCAGCGAUGCGCUUCUGGAUGGAGUCGCGGCCUAUCAGCUUGUUGGUGAGGUAACGGCUCACCAAGGCUUUGACGGGUAGCUGGUCUGAGAGGACGACCAGCCACACUGGAACUGAGACACGGUCCAGACACCUACGGGUGGCAGCAGUCGAGAAUUUUUCUCAAUGGGGGAAACCCUGAAGGAGCGACGCCGCGUGGAGGAUGAAGGCUUUCGGGUUGUAAACUCCUGUCAUCUGGGAACAAAACUCGCAAGAGCUUGAUAGUACCAGAAGAGGAAGAGACGGCUAACUCUGUGCCAGCAGCCGCGGUAAUACAGAGGUCUCGAGCGUUGUUCGGAUUCAUUGGGCGUAAAGGGCGCGUAGGCGGCGGGGUAAGUCUGGUGUGAAAUCUCGGAGCUCAACUCCGAAAUUGCACUGGAUACUGCUCUGCUAGAGGGCUGGAGAGGAGAUCGGAAUUCACGGUGUAGCAGUGAAAUGCGUAGA